UACUCUGAAAUCUAUUUUCAAAGUACCUCAUCCUGCAGUUGUGUUAUGCAAACUCCCAUUGAUGUGAUUUUGUGUUUUGAUUGUUGCCCUGUGUGCACAGAAUAGUCAUGUACAAUUCAUGGUUUCAACAGGAAACAAGGCAGGGUUUGAGCCUGAAUGUCGAAACAGAGCCACUCCAAAGCUGUGAGCCUGCACAUCUCAUUUCACCCUGGAUUACGUUCUCCCUACUGGAUAGAGAUGAUGGACAAUGAAAGCACAGACCCUUCCUUAACUACAAGGCUAUUAAUGGAAGCUACUGAAUAAGCAGCAGUAACCAGAUACAGUGAGCGGGAAAUGUUAUCUUGAAGGAUCUUCACUGAUAGAGCCUGGAGAUGACGAUGAAUAUCACAAAGCCAAGAAAAAAGUACAUGUUAACCAGAGAUAAA
This is a long non-coding RNA of Dermochelys coriacea (leatherback sea turtle), 425 nucleotides long. RefSeq lists it as uncharacterized. The transcript has 3 exons. Lineage: Eukaryota; Metazoa; Chordata; Testudines; Dermochelyidae. The record is from RefSeq and is a predicted model, not a curated record.